UACGGAGGGUGCAAGCGUUAAUCGGAAUUACUGGGCGUAAAGGGUGUGUAGGCGGUCUUUUAAGUUUGGUGUGAAAUCUCCCGGCUUAACCGGGAGGGUGCGCCGAAUACUGAGGGACUAGAGUGCGGGAGAGGAAAGUGGAAUUCCUGGUGUAGCGGUGAAAUGCGUAGAUAUCAGGAGGAACACCGAUGGCGAAGGCAGCUCGCUGGGACGGUACUGACGCUGAGGCGCGAAAGCGUGGGGAGCGAACAGG
RNAcentral lists this ribosomal RNA (253 nucleotides) under uncultured bacterium. RNAcentral's name for it is "partial 16S ribosomal RNA". It matches the Rfam family "Bacterial small subunit ribosomal RNA", at positions 524 to 776 of the family's 1533-position model. The record is from RNAcentral.